AUCCCAUCGUAGCUCUCCGACAAUGUGAAAACCACAGCCUAUUUUUUUGCUACCGGUCCUUCUCGGGCGCGCGUCUGGGUUAGUUGAUGGACAUUCUCGUUUUCCCCCGUAUAGGUCACAAGUCAAAAAAAUCUUUUUUUUAGGACUGCUUCUUUUUACUAUUUUCACAAAAAGACCUCUUGCAACGAACCUCACCCAAACC
Molecule: long non-coding RNA, 202 nt
Filed under: Erythranthe guttata (spotted monkey flower)
Lineage: Eukaryota; Viridiplantae; Streptophyta; Magnoliopsida; Lamiales; Phrymaceae
Description: long non-coding RNA (EGUT_LNC003076)
Source: RNAcentral